This 2342-nucleotide ribosomal RNA is filed under the name Escherichia coli. RNAcentral describes it as "partial 23S ribosomal RNA". It matches the Rfam family "Bacterial large subunit ribosomal RNA", at positions 1 to 2367 of the family's 2925-position model. Lineage: Bacteria; Pseudomonadati; Pseudomonadota; Gammaproteobacteria; Enterobacterales; Enterobacteriaceae. The record is from RNAcentral.
GGUUAAGCGACUAAGCGUACACGGUGGAUGCCCUGGCAGUCAGAGGCGAUGAAGGACGUGCUAAUCUGCGAUAAGCGUCGGUAAGGUGAUAUGAACCGUUAUAACCGGCGAUUUCCGAAUGGGGAAACCCAGUGUGAUUCGUCACACUAUCAUUAACUGAAUCCAUAGGUUAAUGAGGCGAACCGGGGGAACUGAAACAUCUAAGUACCCCGAGGAAAAGAAAUCAACCGAGAUUCCCCCAGUAGCGGCGAGCGAACGGGGAGCAGCCCAGAGCCUGAAUCAGUGUGUGUGUUAGUGGAAGCGUCUGGAAAGGCGCGCGAUACAGGGUGACAGCCCCGUACACAAAAAUGCACAUACUGUGAGCUCGAUGAGUAGGGCGGGACACGUGGUAUCCUGUCUGAAUAUGGGGGGACCAUCCUCCAAGGCUAAAUACUCCUGACUGACCGAUAGUGAACCAGUACCGUGAGGGAAAGGCGAAAAGAACCCCGGCGAGGGGAGUGAAAAAGAACCUGAAACCGUGUACGUACAAGCAGUGGGAGCACGCUUCGGCGUGUGACUGCGUACCUUUUGUAUAAUGGGUCAGCGACUUAUAUUCUGUAGCAAGGUUAACCGAAUAGGGGAGCCGAAGGGAAACCGAGUCUUAACUGGGCGUUAAGUUGCAGGGUAUAGACCCGAAACCCGGUGAUCUAGCCAUGGGCAGGUUGAAGGUUGGGUAACACUAACUGGAGGACCGAACCGACUAAUGUUGAAAAAUUAGCGGAUGACUUGUGGCUGGGGGUGAAAGGCCAAUCAAACCGGGAGAUAGCUGGUUCUCCCCGAAAGCUAUUUAGGUAGCGCCUCGUGAAUUCAUCUCCGGGGGUAGAGCACUGUUUCGGCAAGGGGGUCAUCCCGACUUACCAACCCGAUGCAAACUGCGAAUACCGGAGAAUGUUAUCACGGGAGACACACGGCGGGUGCUAACGUCCGUCGUGAAGAGGGAAACAACCCAGACCGCCAGCUAAGGUCCCAAAGUCAUGGUUAAGUGGGAAACGAUGUGGGAAGGCCCAGACAGCCAGGAUGUUGGCUUAGAAGCAGCCAUCAUUUAAAGAAAGCGUAAUAGCUCACUGGUCGAGUCGGCCUGCGCGGAAGAUGUAACGGGGCUAAACCAUGCACCGAAGCUGCGGCAGCGACACUAUGUGUUGUUGGGUAGGGGAGCGUUCUGUAAGCCUGUGAAGGUGGCCUGUGAGGGUUGCUGGAGGUAUCAGAAGUGCGAAUGCUGACAUAAGUAACGAUAAAGCGGGUGAAAAGCCCGCUCGCCGGAAGACCAAGGGUUCCUGUCCAACGUUAAUCGGGGCAGGGUGAGUCGACCCCUAAGGCGAGGCCGAAAGGCGUAGUCGAUGGGAAACAGGUUAAUAUUCCUGUACUUGGUGUUACUGCGAAGGGGGGACGGAGAAGGCUAUGUUGGCCGGGCGACGGUUGUCCCGGUUUAAGCGUGUAGGCUGGUUUUCCAGGCAAAUCCGGAAAAUCAAGGCUGAGGCGUGAUGACGAGGCACUACGGUGCUGAAGCAACAAAUGCCCUGCUUCCAGGAAAAGCCUCUAAGCAUCAGGUAACAUCAAAUCGUACCCCAAACCGACACAGGUGGUCAGGUAGAGAAUACCAAGGCGCUUGAGAGAACUCGGGUGAAGGAACUAGGCAAAAUGGUGCCGUAACUUCGGGAGAAGGCACGCUGAUAUGUAGGUGAAGCGACUUGCUCGUGGAGCUGAAAUCAGUCGAAGAUACCAGCUGGCUGCAACUGUUUAUUAAAAACACAGCACUGUGCAAACACGAAAGUGGACGUAUACGGUGUGACGCCUGCCCGGUGCCGGAAGGUUAAUUGAUGGGGUUAGCGGUAACGCGAAGCUCUUGAUCGAAGCCCCGGUAAACGGCGGCCGUAACUAUAACGGUCCUAAGGUAGCGAAAUUCCUUGUCGGGUAAGUUCCGACCUGCACGAAUGGCGUAAUGAUGGCCAGGCUGUCUCCACCCGAGACUCAGUGAAAUUGAACUCGCUGUGAAGAUGCAGUGUACCCGCGGCAAGACGGAAAGACCCCGUGAACCUUUACUAUAGCUUGACACUGAACAUUGAGCCUUGAUGUGUAGGAUAGGUGGGAGGCUUUGAAGUGUGGACGCCAGUCUGCAUGGAGCCGACCUUGAAAUACCACCCUUUAAUGUUUGAUGUUCUAACGUUGACCCGUGAUCCGGGUUGCGGACAGUGUCUGGUGGGUAGUUUGACUGGGGCGGUCUCCUCCUAAAGAGUAACGGAGGAGCACGAAGGUUGGCUAAUCCUGGUCGGACAUCAGGAGGUUAGUGCAAUGGCAUAAGCCAG